UACGGAGGAUUCGAGCGUUAUCCGGAUUUAUUGGGUUUACAGGGUGCGUAGGUGGAUUAAUAAGUCAGUGGUGAAAGCCCGAAGCUCAACUUCGGCACUGCCAUUGAUACUGUUAAUCUUGAGUACAGUUGAGGUGGGCGGAAUGUGUCAUGUAGCGGUGAAAUGCUGAGAUAUGACACAGAACACCGAAUGCGAAGGCAGCUCACUAAGCUGUAACUGACACUGAGGCACGAAAGCGUGGGGAGCAAACAGG
This 253-nucleotide ribosomal RNA is filed under the name uncultured bacterium. Its description in RNAcentral is "partial 16S ribosomal RNA". It matches the Rfam family "Bacterial small subunit ribosomal RNA", at positions 524 to 776 of the family's 1533-position model. The record is from RNAcentral.